GGACUACACGGGUUUCUAAUCCUGUUUGCUACCCACGCUUUCGUGUUUCAGCGUCAGUUACGGUCCAGAAAGCCGUCUACACCACCGGUGUUCCUCCUGAUAUCUACGCAUUUCACCGCUACACCAGGAAUUCCACUUUCCCUUCCCGCACUCUUGUCAGACAGUUUGUAGCGCACCCUCCCAGUUGAGCCGGGAGAUUUCACACCACACUUAUCCAACCGCCUACGCACCCUUUACGCCCAGUAACUCCGAACAACGCUUGCCGCCUACGUAUUACCGCGGCUGCUGGCAC
RNAcentral lists this ribosomal RNA (292 nucleotides) under uncultured Acidobacteriota bacterium. RNAcentral describes it as "uncultured Acidobacteria bacterium partial 16S ribosomal RNA". The record is from RNAcentral. Lineage: Bacteria; Pseudomonadati; Acidobacteriota.